UAGGGAAUCUUCGGCAAUGGACGAAAGUCUGACCGAGCAACGCCGCGUGAGUGAAGAAGGUUUUCGGAUCGUAAAACUCUGUUGUUAGAGAAGAACAAGGACGUUAGUAACUGAACGUCCCCUGACGGUAUCUAACCAGAAAGCCACGGCUAACUACGUGCCAGCAGCCGCUGUAAUACGUAGGUGGCAAGCGUUGUCCGGAUUUAUUGGGCGUAAAGCGAGCGCAGGCGGUUUCUUAAGUCUGAUGUGAAAGCCCCCGGCUCAACCGGGGAGGGUCAUUGGAAACUGGGAGACUUGAGUACAGAAGAGGAGAGUGGAAUUCCAUAUGUAGCGGUGAAAUGCGUAGAUAUAUGGAGGAACACCAGUGGCGAAGGCGGCUCUCUGGUCUGUAACUGACGCUGAGGCUCGAAAGCGUGGGGAGCAAACAGG
RNAcentral lists this ribosomal RNA (429 nucleotides) under Gemmatimonadota bacterium. Its description in RNAcentral is "Gemmatimonadetes bacterium partial 16S ribosomal RNA". It matches the Rfam family "Bacterial small subunit ribosomal RNA", at positions 355 to 776 of the family's 1533-position model. Lineage: Bacteria; Pseudomonadati; Gemmatimonadota. The record is from RNAcentral.